UAUCCAGUAGCACCUUAGAGACCAACUAAGUUUGUUCUUGGUAUAAACUUUCGUGUGCAUGUACACUUCUUCAGAUACCAAAUUUAGUUGGUUUCUAAGGUGCUACUGGACA
This is a non-coding RNA of Podarcis lilfordi (Lilford's wall lizard), 112 nucleotides long. The record is from the annotation of a GenBank genome assembly. NCBI's taxonomy places the organism in Eukaryota, Metazoa, Chordata, Lepidosauria, Squamata, Lacertidae.